RNAcentral lists this microRNA precursor (89 nucleotides) under Octodon degus (degu). Its description in RNAcentral is "miRNA (ENSODEG00000022397.1)". Lineage: Eukaryota; Metazoa; Chordata; Mammalia; Rodentia; Octodontidae. The record is from RNAcentral.
CCUGUCUUUCUGCUUUUAACUAAAUGUAGACCUGGGCAUGGUGGCAUAUGCCUGUGACCUCAGCACUCUGGAGGCUGAGGCAGGAGGAU